Molecule: ribosomal RNA, 495 nt
Filed under: uncultured bacterium
Lineage: Bacteria
Description: partial 16S ribosomal RNA
Rfam family: Bacterial small subunit ribosomal RNA
Source: RNAcentral
GACGAACGCUGGCGGCGUGCCUAACACAUGCAAGUGGAGCGACGAACCUGGCUUCGGCCAGGGGCAAAGCCGCGAACGGGUGAGUAACACGUGGAUUAUCUGCCCCAAUGACCGGGACAACCCGAGGAAACUCGGGCUAAUACCGGAUGUGCUCUUAGGAGGAAAGGAAGCUUCGGCCUCCGCAUUGGGAUGAGUCCGCGGCGCAUUAGCUUGUUGGUGGGGUAAUGGCCCACCAAGGCGACGAUGCGUAGCUGGUCUGAGAGGACGAUCAGCCACACUGGAACUGGGACACGGUCCAGACUCCUACGGGAGGCAGCAGUGGGGAAUCUUGCGCAAGGCACGAAAGUGUGACGCAGCAACGCCGCGUGCGGGAAGAAGGUCUUCGGAUCGUAAACCGCUUUCAGUUGGGACGAGGGUCAGCUGGUGAAUAGCCAGUCUGACUGACGGUACCUUCAGAAGAAGCCCCGGCUAACUACGUGCCAGCCGCCGCAGUAA